This is a long non-coding RNA of Rhincodon typus (whale shark), 7111 nucleotides long. RefSeq lists it as uncharacterized. NCBI's taxonomy places the organism in Eukaryota, Metazoa, Chordata, Chondrichthyes, Orectolobiformes, Rhincodontidae. The transcript is spliced from 4 exons. The record is from RefSeq and is a predicted model, not a curated record.
CCACCCGUCAGAGCAGAGCAUGCGUGGUGAGGUUCCAGGCAUUGAACGGGGCGGGGUGAAGCUGGCCUGACCAACAGCACGGGCUGCACGCAGAGGUUGUGUUACAGCAGUCUGAGGAGCAUGUGUACACUCAGUGCCUGGGCCGGAAAGGCAUGUGGGAACUUCAUUACUUAACCGCUAUCAGCGUUCUCCCACAAGUGGCAGAAUUUGCACAUUGUUCAUUGGAUUUAUCAGAUUUCUCAGAACCUAUCAAACCAGAGUGGAAAUAAGUCAUCGUCGAUUCUGAGGCACUGCCUAAGAAGAACCGAAAGAGAUUGCCUUCAAUUCCUGGUUUGGGAAGCGAACCCAGAGAUUCUGACUUUGAGGCAGGCAUACUACCUACUGUGCUACUUCACCACCUGGAUUGUCCAUGGAUAGAUUUCUCACUUCUAGUUCACUGGAAGCACAACGCUUUCCUAAGAAAAGAAGAUUUGUUACAAUGUAUCAACUUUGACAAUGCAUUUUGAGGUGUGGUCAAUGUUGUAAUGUAGGAUCAGGGCCACCAACUUGUGCACAGCAAGAGCCCACAGCUGCAGUGUGAUUAUGACCAGAUGAUCCGUUUUUGUGAUGUGGCUCCUGUGAUCCAUUUUCACCAGUAGACCCACGAACAAGAACCCCAACAAGAAACAGUUUCUGUUCCUGGGAUUUCCAAACUCCAGCCUGUGGGCUGUAUCCAUUUGAGGAAAAAAAUCUAAAUCACGCGGGUUUAGUCUCUGGAGAGAUCAGGGAUCCUUCUGGAAGAAGUCAUUCCAAACUCUGCUUCCUGUCCCUGACGCGCAGCAAAUUCCAUUUCCCAGUACCGCCUCGGUAAUUGAUAUUGGGCUCCGCUCCUCCGUCUCGAUGAAGGCGGAUAUAGGUCUAAAUUACUCCUCCUCGUUUCCCCUGAUAUAGAGCGCAUUGCUCCACACCCGGGGACGCUCUGAGAACGGGCAAAGCCGUGGAGGCAAGCCCCGCCCCCGAAACUUGACAUUACCAAUCGGAAACCAAUAUGGGAGCGGAGCCGGAAGCUCCAGUUCCUGCGGGUGAUUGUGAAUGACCCCAUCCGGGGAACCAGUCAGAGAGCGGGAGGAUGAUGGGCAUUGCGGGGAAGAGGAUGCGAUCCCAGUCUCCGACUCCAAGGGCUGCCAUUCACAGCGGCGCAUCUAAUUUCUAACACCGUCCACGUGACAGACACUCGGGCUCGCGCGCUCUCACAAUCGAAUUCACGAACUCGAGGCGCAACCGCUGCUGCGCGCAAUAGACCUACAGCUCCCGUCAGAUUAGUUAUGUAAAUAACAAAUAAGAAGAUCCUGAAGAUGACGCAAAGAGCUGUGGUAAUACUCUUCACAGCUUUAUUCAACACAGAGAAGGUUGACCAUGAAACCAUCAAUCAGGUCAGGGGAGCUUUGACAUAUCAUCAGAUCUGAAACUGGUCAGUGGUGUGGACCCUUCCAUCAGCACCAACCUUUCUGAAGGUUUGAAGUUGAGGAUUCGGAUGAGGCUGGAAAGAAGUGUGAGUUGCUUCAAGUAUGGUGAGAGCCCCAAUCCUUUAUCAACCCUCAUGAACCAUUGACUCACUCUUACAGGUGAGAGGACAUUCAAGUAUGAGCUCUGGGAGAAAGUUCACAUAAUCUCCUAACACUCAAGGUGCAAUUAUUGUAAAAUUGUUAACAGAAAGAAAGUCACAUGGAGAGAAAACAUUCAAAUAGGAAGUGUUUGCAAUGUUAUCUACGCUUGUGUAUCUACGACACAAUGACACUGGAGAGAAAAUGUUCAAAGGUGAGGCAUGUAACAAGAAGUCUGCACAGUUAUCGGGCUUGAUAAAACAUAAAGCACUUCACAUGGGGGCAAAAGCAUUCACAUGCAAGGUUUGUGAAAAAUCAUUCUCACAUUCAUUGAACUUCCGCAGACACCAACGAGUUCACACAGGGGAGAAACCCCACAAGUGCAAGAAAUGCAACAAGUCAUUCUGUCUCAUCAAGACUCUUGAUCCACCAGAGGAUUCAUACAGGGAAGAAACCAUUUGUGUUUGAGAUGUGUGAAAAGACAUUCUUGGAGUCAGCAAACCUUUGCAGACACCAACGAAUUCACACAGGAGGGAAACGUCACAAGUACAAGGAAUGCACCAAGGCAUUCUCAGAGUCAUCAAAGCUUCAAAAAUACCAACAAAUUCACAAAGGGGAGAAAACAUUCAUGUGUGAGGUCUGUGAAAAAACAUUCUUGCAGUUAUCAAAACUCCGCAUACACCAACAAAUUCAUACAGGAGAGAAACCAUUCACAUGUGACGUCUGUGACAAAUCAUUCUCUGAAUCAUCAACCCUCCGUGUUCAUCAACACAUUCACACAGGAGAGAAACCAUUCAUAUGUAAGGUUUGUGAUAAAACCAUUCUCACAAUCAUCAAAUUUCCACAAACACCAAUGUAUUCACACAGGGAAGAAACCAUUCACAUGUGAGAUGUGCUUCAAAUCAUUCUUGCGACCUGCCGACCUCUGGGCACACCAACAUAUCCAUAGAGGGGAAAAAUCAUUCACUUGUGAGUGGUGCGACAAAUCGUUCUACAACUCAUCAAAACUGUUGGUCCACCAGGGGAUUCACACAGGCAAGAAACCAUUCAUGUACGAGGUGUGUGAGAAAACAUUCUCAGAUUCAUCAAUUCUCCGCAGGCACCAACGGGUUCACACAGGGGAGAAACCAUAAAGGUGCAAGGAAUGUAACAGAUCAUUCUCAGAGUCAUCAAACCUUCAAAGACACCAACAAAUUCAUACAGGGGCGAAACCAUUCACAUGCAAGGUCUGUGAAUAAUCAUUCUCAGCAUUAUCAUACACCAAUGCAUUCACACAGGAGAAACCUGACACAUGCAAAGAAAGCGACAAGUCAUUUGCAGAGUCUUCAAAGCUUCAGAGAUACCAUCAAAUUCAAAAAGUAGAGAAAGGUGUGUGACAAAUCAUGCUCAGACUCAUCAACCAUCCGUAAACCACAACAAAUUCACACAGGAGAGAGAGCAUUCAUGUGUGAGGUAUCUGAUAUAUCAUUCUGAAAAUCGUCAAAGGCUCUAAUGCAUUCACACAACAGAGAAACUAUUUAUGUACAAGGUGUUCGAUAAACUGUUCACCCAAUCUCCUGCUCCAUCAGAGGAUUGACAAAGGGAGGAACUCUUUAAAUGGGAGGUUUCCAAUAAAAGUAUCAUGACUUCUUCAAACCUCCUGGGACAUGAGAGGAUUCAGAAAGUAACAAACUCUUCAGGUGUGAUUGUAUGACAAAUUUUGCACCGACAUCUCCAACCUGAGUUCCAGAGGAUCCACACUGGUGAAAAACCAUUCAAGUGUGUUGCAGAAGGCAAUGACCUAAAGUUGACAAAAUGGCCACUUGGGGCAUUUUUAGCGAACAAAACAUAGCUGAAAGGGUUUGACAGUUACAUACAGGAGAUGUUCACGCCUAGACUUGUGGUCUCCAUACAGAUAUACUGGAUAAGAUGAGAUUCUCUGACGGAAGUAAUAUCAGGGAAGUCAAUCAGGCUUCUGUAAACAGGCAGUUCUAAACAUAUAAACAUUUUAACAAUGGGCAGUUUUGAAACGCCUAAUGUAGCCACAGGCCCAAGCUUGUUAUUUAGUAAGAAGUAGAAGAAGAUUCUGAUCCUGCAGUAUUCUGAAUAUUUUAGGUAAUUGAAAAAUUAUAAAGGUAACAAACAAAUUAAUAGGAAAAGGUUAGAUGCAUUCCUUGAGCAAAUGUUUGUCGGCAGUCAAAAGGUCCAAUGCAUUACUAGGGAAGAUAAAGGUAAUAAAUGGUUUAAAUAUGACCUCCAAAAAAUAUCUAUUGGCACAGGAGGAGGGCAGAGAAAGUUUGUAAAAAGAGAGACCACAAUUGAAACUUACGUGCAGAUUUAGAUAAAUUGAACAAGUUCUUAUAUCCCAAGAUCAAGGGAAGUGUGACAAAGACAGAUGACAAAACACAGAGUGAAGAUGUGGUUAUGUCCCCUAGUUGUAUGCGGAAUUUAAACAAGUUUCAUUUCAAGAUUUGUUAAAGUUGUAAAGUGAUUGAAUUUCAACUUCAUCAGUAGAAUUCAAAUAGAUGUUUUUUAUGAAGAAAAGAUAAUUAGCCAUGGAAAGUUUUCAAGAGUAGAAACAGUAAAUAUUUACUUAAAAAUGAAACUUAGUUUAAAAUUCACUUACAGCAUGUAAAUAGCAGUGGUUGUAAACUGCCAUUGCAAGUCAGAAACACUUUGGUUGAUCUCUCAGGCUGAAGUGAGAGAGGGAUUGUUUUCAAUUUGUCAGCUGUGUCACAGAAUUGUAGGAACUUUAUAUCAGAGUUGAUUUUAAAGUCGUUAUGAUAACUGGUAGAAAUUAAUAUCCUUCCUAAUCUGCCAUACUAAAGUUAGUACAGAAUUUGGAAGCGCGCUUAACGAUAAACAAGUAUUUAGGUUAUUGGUAAAUAUCUGGGAAUGAAUAAAGCUGUCAGAAGAAUUUUGAGAUCCUAAAGACAGAUAAUGGAGGUAUCUAGUAGACUUUGGGAGAAUGCAGACAGCCUGAGGUCCUCCCUUAGAGUUGUCCAUCAUUUAUUGUGUGUUUACUGGAUUGGAUGUAUAGAUUAGGGGGAUGUGGCUAACUGACAUCUAUUUAGUGUAACGCAAAAGGUAUAAAAAUGUUGUAUUUAGCUGGGGAAUCAAUAGUGUCAUUGACCUCUCUUCCGAUCUGAGCUCUCAUAUAAGAGGGCAACUGAGCCCCACAUGAAAACCAGAUUCAGAGUGGUCUCUCGGCUCUCCCACAUAUGUGACAAAGGAGCUUUAAAGAAACAUUACUGGUGCUGCUGAACACAGAAUUCAAGACUUCUCUUUAAUUUUUCUCCCUUCAACAAGGUAUGUGGUGUGUGACCAGGCUUUCAUACAGUCAGAGUAUUUCCUGAUCCAUAAAAACAUUCAUGAAAAUCUCUAUUGGUUUAAAUUCUGUAAGAAAGCCUUGUCCUGGAACAUAAAUGCACUCGAUUGGACAUCAAACCCUUCCUGUGUGAUAUGCCAGGAUUAUUUCACCUCCUCCUCCUCUCUCACAGAGGAUAUCUCCACAUGGUCUUGGGGCCGGGACACCCAAUUUCAUUGCACUGAGAGCUGACUGUUGUUUAUCAUCCAGUGCUCACAUAGGGGAGCUGUCAUUCUAAAGUACUGGCUGUCUCACCAGUGUCUGCCUCAAUUCUUUCCUACCAAACAUUCCAAUUGUUUUAAGGAAGUCAAUUUAACCUUUGACCAGAUUGCAGAAACACAGCCUUCAAAGGUGGAUGUACUUAAGACCAGAAUGGAAGAACCCCAGAGUUCUCGGAGAGAGAUGGGACCAGAGGUGCCAAAGAUAGAGAGAGGUGAGGCCAUGGAACAUUCAAUACUUGAGCAUGAGGAUUUUAAAUUGGAGGCUCUGAAGUACUUGGAACAAUGUACAGGUCAAGUACAGGGGUGAUAGGUGUGUAUGAAGACAGAGAAUGCAAAGUUUUAGUUGAGUUGAAGUUUAUAGAGGGUGCAAGAUGGGAAGCUGGACAGGAAAGCAUUGGAAUAGUGUAGUCUAGUCUGGAAGCUACAACAGCAUAAAUGAAGGUUUCUUCAGCCUAUUGACUAAUGUGAAGCUGGGAUGUUCGAAAUGCUGUAGAGGGGGAAAUCAGGUGAUCUUUGUGAUGUAGAGGGUAUGGGAUUGGAAGCUCAACUGGAAUUUGAAGAAGAUUACACUGCCCAAUUUUUGUUGCGGAUGGGAGUGGAGAAAAAAAUCAUAUGUAAGAACUGGAGUAAUCUAUUCAUGUUGUUAAACCAUUCAGUUAGAUCACAGUUGAUCUGUAUCUUAAUUCUAUCUACAUGCCUUGACUGUCAUCCUUAAUUUCCCCUGUCAUAGUCCGACCAGACCAUUGGGUUGUUCUGUCAUUCAAGAGAUAGGACUAGUGGUGGGUGUGACCAAAGCAUCACCAUGCCUCAUGAGAGAGGAGAGGUUGACGAGUCCUUCAUGGUAAUGUGCGAGAAUUGAACCCAUGAUGUUGGCAUAAUUCUGCAUCACAAACCAGCUGCUCAGCCAACUGAGACCCAUUGACACUUUGCUGCGGUGAAGAGGCUUGAGUGUUCUGUUAAUCCUGAGAGCAAUACCAUUAGGAGUUCUCAACUCCUGGGAGUCAGCCCAUGAUGGUAAGGUCAGAAGGGAGGAACAAGACAAAGCGUAAUCCAAAACAAAUUAUCAGCGGCGAUCCAGAGAGAAGAUACAUGAUAUCAAUGGCCCUAAAGGAGAUGCAGAGAGCAAGCAGAGGGCAGUGGAGGGAAGAAGGUGGUGGUUCCACCUUUUUCUGGAGAGGAAAACAUGAGGAUCAAUGCAGGACACAUGAAAUUAAAUUCACCAUCAAGAAUGAACUCCAAUGAACUCUUAGAGACUCAGCAAUGGCAUCAUGACUCAAUGGCAAUGGUUGUGACUGUCUAUGCUUCAAUCCUUGAGUUGAAAGAAAGCUUCUCAUCCACCCUGGAAGCUUGAUGCUGAGAGAGUGCAUCAACCCUAUCCUAAAUGAUAAUGGCUAUUAUGAUCAAAUUAUCACUUGUGCAAAAUCAUGAAAGAAUGUUUGGCUCUGACAGAUGACUAGUCUACUUGAGAUUACAGUGCAAGCAGGAGGUGUCUCAAAAAUUUGAUCAACAGGUAACUUUAGCUAUUUAACUUUGUACCUUUGCAUUAAUGUAAGAGUGGCUUUCUCCACAGCCAGGAUGUUGUUGUGAAUAAAAAAUAAAUUCUGCACAGCACACAAAUAAGUGGUAUGAGUUCUGUAUAAUGUUGCAAUACCAGAUAUAUAGGCUGUACAUCUCAAUAACAUAUUGAAUAUCAAACAACACAUCCCUGUGUUGUUUGGCAGUGGGCAAGAUGUGAAUUGUGCUGAGCUUAGAUUACAGUGUCCAGCACUAGAUGCAAUUCUGCACUUGAACAACAAAUUACCAAAUGAUCCAGACUGUGCUUGGAAUUACACUGGAAACAAAUCUAAGAUUAUCAGUCAGGCUCGGAGUGUUAAUUUGGUUGCAUAUUCAUGUUACAGACAUCAAAGAUUCAUUUCAUGUUGUGGGAAAAAUCUUCAUCAUUUAAAAUUGUUUUUUGUUGU